This 406-nucleotide ribosomal RNA is filed under the name uncultured bacterium. RNAcentral's name for it is "partial 16S ribosomal RNA". It matches the Rfam family "Bacterial small subunit ribosomal RNA", at positions 29 to 526 of the family's 1533-position model. The record is from RNAcentral.
AGUGAACGCUGGCGGUAGGCCUAACACAUGCAAGUCGAACGAGUGUCGGACGGGUGAGGAAUACAUCGGAAUCUACUCUGUCGAGGUGGAUAACGUAGGGAAACUUACGCUAAUACCGCAUACGCUUGAAUGAGCCGAUGUCGGAUUAGCUAGUUGGCGGGGGAAAGGCCCACCACGGAGCAGAUCCGUAGCGGUUCUGAGAGGAUUAUAAGCCACACUGGAACUGAGACACGGCCCAGACUCCUACGGGAGGCAGCAGUGGGGAAUAUGGGACAUUGGGCGCAAGCCUGAUCCAGCCAUACCGCGUGGGUGAAGAAGGCCUUCGGGUUGUAAAGCCCUUUUGUUGGGAAAGCGGUACCCAAAGAAUAAGCACCGGCUAACUUCGUGCCAGCAGCCGCGGUAAUAC